AAAUACAUCCAUCCCUGGGUGGAUGUCUGUCUAGUUAGCCCUGGGUCAAUUCCCAUUCUCCUGUCCCAGAAACUCCUGGCGUUGGUCAGCCGUCACGUGCCCGUAGAACUGCUCUUUGCUGCCACGCUGUCCUCCAGCACUGGCUGCAGAGCGGGGCUCAGCCUGCCUGGCUCCCCUGUGCCGGGCUGUUUUCAACGUCAGCACACCAGGGGGCAGAACAGAAAAACAUAGAAUGAAGAAACAUUCACAGCUACUGUUCACUUCUACUAAUUGACUGAUCAGAAAUCCUGAGAUGCACAGAGAUCUGCUAACACCUAAAGCCUGGAAACGAAGACCAACGCUCCUCGGGAGGCUUGAGCCACAAAAAUGCAAGAGAUAGCAACAUUUUUUCCUGUACUUAAUUUCUAAUAACUAUUAUAGGAAGCGCUGAUGUAAGUUUGGCUAAGUGUCUGUUUCCCACUGGAAUGUGAUCACACAAAAAUAAUGCAGGAUCUCAAGGGCUAUUCCCACUUUUCCAAAGGGAGAAAGUUGAUAAGUACUGCAGUGGUUAGGGAUUGUUUCAAACUUGCAUAAUUGUUACAGGCAAAGAAAAGAUCAUAAUCAUGUAGGAAGUUCCAGUGUUCCCGAAUCCUGAAUGUAGCCACCUCUUGGCCCACUGGAGGUAAAAUAGUUUGUGAAUUGAAAAACUUGUAGACAAAAUAAAAUGGUUUUCUUUUUCAGGUGUUUAUACCCUAACUCUCAAACACUGUUAAAGUCUCAAAAAUCAACUCAGAACUCAUUAAACAUUUUGAUCCUCCCCAAAAAACACAAAAUCUGAGACAUAUUGUUGCAAAUCACAAUCAAGCUUUGUAUAACUUAAAACACACUCAAAAUGUAAUGUUUCACCUUAACCCAAAGAUAACCAAUUUUCCUAAUAUAUGUAUCACAAUCUAUUGAUUCAUACACUCACCUCUUCAUAAUACCAAGGAUAAACUGACCACCAGUUUCUUCUUUUAAAGGAAAUAUUAUCAUUCAAAUAUUUGUUAAGAUGACAGUUUGAUCAGACUUCCUGAAAAGUACCCUAAGGGGAGUCUUUAUUUAGUAGCUGAUGGAAUAAAGCCUCUGCUUUUUAGUUCUCUCUUUAAAAAAAAAAAAAACAUUAUUUGACUUUUUUGAGUGAAUCAAAAACAUUGCAAGGAAUAACUCUCUAAGGGAUUUAAUAAAAUGCUAAACAAAACUUAGUUUGCAUUUUAAUCCUGAACAAAACAAAAAGUAGCAAACUAUGAUCUUCUCUACCCAGAGCGCUUUUUGGUUCUCCUGGGGCUUGUCACUAUUCUCUGUUCAGGAAAUGAGAGCUGUCAUUUUCUGUUUUAUUUUUUGCCUGAAAGCUCUCCAGUACUUUUUUUGGUCACUGUUACCUUUGACCCCAAAUCUUUUCUCCAUUAACAUAUUUGCCUUUGCUCUGCAAAUCCCUCAUGACGGAAAGUCACCUAGGAGUCUUAGAUGUGGCUAAAGGGGAACAAAAUAUUCCAUAAAAUUUUAACAGGCACUGUUGAAGUCUUCUUGAUCCAAAAUUGCCCUCUUACUCCCCAAAAGCUCUUCUUCAAAGCUCUUGCUUAGGGACUGAGGUUUCGUGCGGCCGCUCCGCCCAGCGUCUCUUCCAGCUGCUCUGCUAAAUGCGACGGUGAUGCCCGUGAAGGGGGUGUGAUGGCUUUUGCUUUCUUCUUAUCAGUUGGUCUGAAGAUGGUCCUUCUGUGCUAUAAAUGCCUUUCAAUGAAUGUUGCGAGAGCUGUGCACAGGCUUGAAUCUCAGAUGAAAUCAGCUUGUUAAUUUUCAGCUGUUUCGCAAAAGAUGAAAAAAACCUUCCUGAGAGAGCCCUCUCCCCUGCCCCCAAUUUGAGCACUGGGUUACCUGUGCCAUAAAAAUACAGAGAACACUUUUGAAGUCAGUGACUUGAAUUUUUAAAGGUCGUCAGAUGGGCUUUCAUUUUCAUGAUAUUUCAGUUCAGUUCAGUCGCUCAGUCCUGUCCGACUCUUUGUGACCCAAUGGACUGCAGCAUGCCAGGCCUCCCUGUCCAU
Molecule: long non-coding RNA, 2057 nt
Organism: Bubalus bubalis (water buffalo)
Lineage: Eukaryota; Metazoa; Chordata; Mammalia; Artiodactyla; Bovidae
Exons: 3
Source: RefSeq, a predicted model, not a curated record